Molecule: ribosomal RNA, 292 nt
Filed under: uncultured bacterium
Lineage: Bacteria
Description: partial 16S ribosomal RNA
Rfam family: Bacterial small subunit ribosomal RNA
Source: RNAcentral
GUGCCAGCAGCCGCGGUAAUACGAAGGGGGCUAGCGUUGCUCGGAAUCACUGGGCGUAAAGCGCACGUAGGCGGAUCUUUAAGUCAGGGGUGAAAUCCCGGAGCUCAACUCCGGAACUGCCUCCGAUACUGGCAAUCUGGAGUCCGGGAGAGGUGAGUGGAAUUCCGAGUGUAGAGGUGAAAUUCGUAGAUAUUCGGAAGAACACCAGUGGCGAAGGCGGCUCACUGGCCCGGAACUGACGCUGAGGUGCGAAAGCGUGGGGAGCAAACAGGAUUAGAUACCCCGGUAGUCC